AUAAAAUAAUUAUAUUUUUAUAAAUUUAUUAUAAAUUUAUUUUACAUAUAAAUUUUAGUAUAUAAUUUUAAUUAUUUAAAUAAUAAUUAAUUUAAAUUUUAAUAAGUAGUAAUUAAUAUUAAAAAUUUAAGAAAUUAAGAUUUAGUAAUAUUAAAAUUAAUAACUAAUUUUGUGCCAGCAGUUGCGGUUAAACAAAAGUUAAAUUAAAUUAUUUCAGUUUAUAAUAAAUAAAAUAUUUCAUUAAAAUAAAUAUUGAAUUAUUAAGUGAAAUUUUAAUUUAAUUAAAUUUUAUAUAAUUAUUAUGAUUUAAUAAAUUUUAAUAUAAACUAGGAUUAGAUACCCUAUUAUUAAAAAUUUAAUUUAUAAUACUAAAAUAGUAAAUAAUAAUUUAUUGAAACUUAAAUAAUAUGGCGGUAUUUUAGUUCAUUUAGAGGAAUCUGUCUAAUAAUUGAUAAUCCACGAAUAAAUUUACUUAAUUUAUAAUUUUGUAUAUCAUUGUUAAAAAAAUAUUUUUUAGUAAAAAUAAUAUUUAAAUUUUAUUAAAGAAAUUAAAUCAGAUCAAGAUGCAGAAUAUAAUUAAGAAUAUGAUGGAUUACAUUAAAUAUAUUUAAAUGAAUAGUUUUUUGUAAUAUAAAUUUGAAGGUGGAUUUAAAUGUAAUUUUAAUUAGUUUAUUAAAAUGAUUAAUAAUUAAAAUAUGUACAUAUUGCCCGUCACUUUCAUUUAAAAAUUGAAAUAAGUCGUAACAAAGUAGAGGUACUGGAAAGUGUUUCUAGAAAGA
RNAcentral lists this non-coding RNA (779 nucleotides) under Precis andremiaja. The record is from RNAcentral. Lineage: Eukaryota; Metazoa; Arthropoda; Insecta; Lepidoptera; Nymphalidae.